CCUUCGGGGUGGAUUAGUGGCGAACGGGUGAGUAACACGUGGGCAAUCUGCCCUUCACUCUGGGACAAGCCCUGGAAACGGGGUCUAAUACCGGAUACCACUCCUGCCUGCAUGGGCGGGGGUUGAAAGCUCCGGCGGUGAAGGAUGAGCCCGCGGCCUAUCAGCUUGUUGGUGGGGUAAUGGCCCACCAAGGCGACGACGGGUAGCCGGCCUGAGAGGGCGACCGGCCACACUGGGACUGAGACACGGCCCAGACUCCUACGGGAGGCAGCAGUGGGGAAUAUUGCACAAUGGGCGAAAGCCUGAUGCAGCGACGCCGCGUGAGGGAUGACGGCCUUCGGGUUGUAAACCUCUUUCAGCAGGGAAGAAGCGAAAGUGACGGUACCUGCAGAAGAAGCGCCGGCUAACUACGUGCCAGCAGCCGCGGUAAUACGUAGGGCGCAAGCGUUGUCCGGAAUUAUUGGGCGUAAAGAGCUCGUAGGCGGCUUGUCACGUCGGAUGUGAAAGCCCGAGGCUUAACCUCGGGUCUGCAUUCGAUACGGGCUAGCUAGAGUGUGGUAGGGGAGAUCGGAAUUCCUGGUGUAGCGGUGAAAUGCGCAGAUAUCAGGAGGAACACCGGUGGCGAAGGCGGAUCUCUGGGCCAUUACUGACGCUGAGGAGCGAAAGCGUGGGGAGCGAACAGGAUUAGAUACCCUGGUAGUCCACGCCGUAAACGUUGGGAACUAGGUGUUGGCGACAUU
RNAcentral lists this ribosomal RNA (740 nucleotides) under Streptomyces xanthophaeus. Its description in RNAcentral is "bacterial SSU rRNA". It matches the Rfam family "Bacterial small subunit ribosomal RNA", at positions 77 to 833 of the family's 1533-position model. Lineage: Bacteria; Bacillati; Actinomycetota; Actinomycetes; Kitasatosporales; Streptomycetaceae. The record is from RNAcentral.